AUUCACUCAUUUUGCUCCGUACGUAGACUUCUAGUGAAAUAUCUUAAAAGACUUAUAUUUAGAAACGGAGGGAGUAUAACAUAACAUUUUAUUAGAAAGUGAUCAAUGCGACCCAAAUCAAAAGAAUGGAAGGUGCGGUCAGAAGUAAGUACAUCAAGAUGAGUCCGAAUAAAACCAAAAAGGAGAUAAAAAUACAACCAAUCGGACUGGAAAUAAACACAAACGUCUCGCCAUUAUCGGAUGUUCCCUCAGAAAAUGAUGAUGAUAUCAUCAGUUGAACUUGCUGCAGAGCUUGCGGACCUCUCCCUGUGUGCCGGUGAGCACAUUGACCUCCCCGAGCUUGAUCAACGCCUGCGGGAAGAGCCAACGGAAGUGGUCGGUAUUGGCGAGCCUGUCGACCAUCCAACGCGUGGAGCCGUCGCCGUAAAGGUUUUGGUCGACCAUGAGCGCGCCACGGCGGCGCUGCAGCAUCUUGUAGGUUUCUGCUCGUUCUAACAUUGCAAUGCAUCCGGUUCUACUAGUAAUACAAGUAGUAAAUGUCACACUACGUAAUUGACCUGAUAAAUCCGUGUCAUCUGAUUACACAUAACUUGACUUUUUUGGAUGCAGUUUGUAAAAGUUUUUGGCAUAACUAGCGGUGCGAAAUAUCUUUGGUUUAUCACGAUCACGCUCCACCAUUACAGAUUUACAAUAGAUCCAAUGUUAAUUAUCAUGUUCUACUAAUUUAGUACUCCCUCCGUCCGAAAAUACUUGUCCUAGAGAUGAAUGUAUCUAGAUUUAUUUUAGUUAUAGAUACAUCAAUUAUAUUCAUUUCUAGGACAAGUAUUUCCGAACGGAGGAAGUACAUUACAAGGACUUUUUCUGCUAAUAUAAUUUUUUCAUACUGUCUUUUUAGAAAGACACGUGCAUAUAAUUAUUACGUACAAUCAAACGCUAUUUAAACAACUUGAAUGUGUAAAAUGCCAAGCUAGCCACCUAGGAAAAAUCGACGGCGUGAGGCGUGAGCUCUAGGGCGCCGGUGGCCAUAGGUCCGAGCGGCCAGCGGUGCUCACGGCCAAUGUUCAAGAGGGCACCUGCGGGCAACGGAGGGAGUAGAUCUUUUAUAUAUAAUAGUAGAGAUAUGUGACUGAAACGUAUAUAUGUGCACAACAUCUAUCCUGUUAUUGUUGAUCUCGAUCAUAUAAGAUAACAUUUUAUUAGAAAGUAAUCAAUGCGACGCACAUCAAAAGAAUGGAAGGUGCGGUCAGAAGUAAGUACAUCAAGAUGAGUCCGAAUAAAACCAAAAAGGAGAUAAAAAUACAACCAAUCCGACUGGAAAUAAACACAAAAGUCUCGCCCUUAUCGGAUGUUUCCUCAGAAAAUGAUGAUGAUAUCAUCAGUUGAACUUGCUGCAGAGCUUGCGGACCUCUCCCUGUGUGCCGGUGAGCACGUUGACCUCCCCGAGCUUCACGAGCGCCUGCGGGAAGAGCCAACGGAAAUGGUCGGUAUUGGCGAGCCUGUCGACCAUCCAACGCGUGGAGCCGUCGCCGUAGAGGUUUUGGUCGACCAUGAGCGCGCCGCGGCGGCGCUGCAACAUCUUGUAGAAGCUGUUGUCCAGCUUGGACGCGCUGGACCGGUCGUCUAGAAACACGAUGUUGUUAUCGGAUGAUGCCGUGUUAGGGCACACAUACGUCUUGUAUAUGGACGCUAGCUCCGGGUCCAUGCUCGGGUCCGUUGCACCAGCCUUGCCG
RNAcentral lists this long non-coding RNA (1730 nucleotides) under Hordeum vulgare. RNAcentral's name for it is "long non-coding RNA (HVUL_LNC013902)". The stretch from base 725 to 848 matches the Rfam family "MIR1120/MIR1122 microRNA precursor family". The record is from RNAcentral. Lineage: Eukaryota; Viridiplantae; Streptophyta; Magnoliopsida; Poales; Poaceae.